This 499-nucleotide ribosomal RNA is filed under the name uncultured Turicibacter sp. RNAcentral's name for it is "bacterial SSU rRNA". It matches the Rfam family "Bacterial small subunit ribosomal RNA", at positions 1 to 507 of the family's 1533-position model. Lineage: Bacteria; Bacillati; Bacillota; Erysipelotrichia; Erysipelotrichales; Turicibacteraceae. The record is from RNAcentral.
UAGGAGUUUUGAGUACCUUGGGACGUCUAGGAUCGGAAGCUGGACGGCGUGCCUAAUACAUGCAAGUCGAGCGAACCACUUCGGUGGGAAGCGGCGAACGGGUGAGUAACACGUAGGUGAUCUGCCCAUCAGACGGGGACAACGAUUGGAAACGAUCGCUAAUACCGGAUAGGACGAAAGUUUAAAGAUGCUCCUGGCAUCACUGAUGGAUGAGCCUGCGGCGCAUUAGCUAGUUGGUGGGGUAAAGGCCUACCAAGGCGACGAUGCGUAGCCGACCUGAGAGGGUGAACGGCCACACUGGGACUGAGACACGGCCCAGACUCCUACGGGAGGCAGCAGUAGGGGAUCUUCGGCAAUGGGCGAAAGCCUGACCGAGCAACGCCGCGUGAAUGAAGAAGGCCUUCGGGUUGUAAAAUUCUGUUAUAAGGGAAGAAAGGUGAUAGGAGGAAAUGACUAUCAAUUGACGGUACCUUAUGAGAAAGCCGCGGCUAACUACGUG